CCGUGGGUCCCACACCACUUGUGUUCAUUGAAAACUGAUUUAGACCCAAUCCAAUGAAUCACACGCGCCACAUGCCCUUAUAAAUACUAACCCAACUUCUUCACCCUUUUCACUUUUCUCUUUUCUCUUCAAUUUUAUUCCAAAACUCGAACAGUACUCAAACGGAACAACCUCGAAAUUCCGAUUUUGCCCUCGCCGUAACCGCAAAAUUCAUCGCCGACGGCGGAACAUGAUCGUGAGGAUAACGACGAUUAAUCAAAAAUUAAAAAGAGUAUGGUGCGUUGUUUCAGCUUAGGUUCCGUUUUGAUUCUGAUUGCGAUUGCGGCGUCGAUGGUUGUUCUUCCGUUGAUGCUUCCGCCGCUUCCUCCGCCGCCUUUGGUGCUUCUUUUCUUUCCCGUCGGGAUUAUGGCGGCGCUCGUGUUUCUCGCGUUCUCGCCUUCGGAAAACGUUGGAAACGGCGUCGUUUACUCAACUUAGGGAAUCGAGAAGUUUCGGUUGUGGAUCUGUGCUACAUUUUGAGUUUCUUCGAUGUUCCGAUCGGUUUCAGUUUUCUUUUUUUUUUUUUUCAAUUUUUUUCUAAUUUAAAUUUAAAAUUUAGGUACGUUGUUGAUAUGAAAGGAAAUUGUAAAAUGAUAAAUAAAAAGGAAAAUAGAAAGGAAAGAUUCAUUGUAUUUGGCGGCAUAGAAGAUUAUUGUUACACUAUUUUUGUAUUUGUGAUUUAGGAUUAGACGUUUACUUUUUGAGAAUUAAUUCAGAAUUAUUUUUGACUAAUUUUUCUGAUUUUUAUAUUCCUGCUAGGCUGCUACUGCCGACCCGGUGCCAUACAAUAUAUUAAUAAAGAGACAUAUUUUAAGUAUACUUGUAAAACAAGUCUAAAUUACACUUUUAUCUGUUUUAUAAUUUUGAAAUCUAUUACUCUUUCUCAAUAUAGUAUUGGUCUUUAAAUUUUAUGUUUUAAUCAAAUUUUAAUUAUUAUAUUUUUUUUUAAAUGUAAUUUUAAUUUCUCUAUUUUACUUAACAAUGAAAUGAAUUGAAUUGAAUUCCCUUUUACUAAAGAAAAAAAAUGAAGGUACCAAAAUCAUAAAUUAAGUAAACAACCCUAUUGACUUGCCUACAUACAAAAGACACUCGUCAACUCGAUGGCAAAUUUAGAUUGCAUAAUGCAAGGAUUAGUGUGGGGAUUUGUCUCAAAAUCUACUAUUUUGAAAAAUCCAAAUUGUGUGAUAACUAGAGGGCAAUAGGGUGGGUGCAAGGAUUACUCUCCAUUACUCUCCUGUUAUUUUAUUCUCCGACUCGAAGAGUUUUUAAAUCUCUUCUUGUUCUAGUAGAUUUUCACAGUCGGAUCUCAUUAACAUAAAAAGAAUAAAUAAAAUCUUAUUAUUUUCAAUCAAAUUUAGAGUAAAUAAGUUGAAAUUCAACCAUAAAAUAAAAUGUAAUAUUAAGACAUUAUUGUGAAUUUUAAAAAUGAAAAUAAUUUAUACACAUAUGGUAUGAAAAGAUGAAUAAAUAUAACAUAAAAUAUUUGUAUAUAUAUUAGUAUUUAGGUAAUUUGUUUGGAGACGGGUUUUCCACAAGGGCGGUAGAUAUAAUUCCCGUUUCAAUCUCCACACUACCCUUGGAAAGAUGUCAUCCCUCAUCCCUAUUGGAAAAAAUUAUCUGCCUAUGGGGAAGUACCCUACAAGAAUCUCUACUUACAGAUGCAGGUUGAUAUCCCUAAAGAAGGCAUAUGCUUCACCUUCAACUACUUGAAAGUGAGAACUUGUCCAAGAAGUGUAGCCAAAGAAAAAAGCUCUUGAGUUAUUGCGAAAGCAGAUUCCAAAAUCAAUCUUAUAUAGGCCCAUGAACGUAACAAAGUCUAAAUUACAUUUGAUUACACUAGGAGCCGACUUGGUCCAAUUGAUGAUGAAGUUAUGAUCAACCUAGGACUAAAAGUCAAUGGUAGAACGCGAUAAGUGGAUCUACAUGUAUUGUUGAAUUGCAAGUGACAACUCAUAGACAUAAGAGAUAUCUACCAAAUUUUAAUAAUAAUAUGUUUGUCUUUUAAGUAAAAGUGAUUAGAAUUUAGAAUUUAUGUUCUUUUACUUUUUAUGUCAUUUAUUUUCUCUUUUAGAAAAAUUGAUGCUUGAUGUGUGAUUUUGUAGGUGAAAGAUUUGAAGAAGUGUUCCAAAAUUAAAAUGCUACAAGAAGUUGUUAUAGCAAGAUGCCCAUACUUGUGAGCAACAAAGCAAGCAGAUUGUGUGGGUCCCAAAUACAUCCAACAUUUAUUCAAAGGUUCUAAGAUACUCCUAGUAUUAGGAGGUUCUAAAAGGAAGAACAAUUGGACUACUUUUGCUUUAUUAGGUCAAAAAGAUACAUUGUGAGCUAAAAGACAAAACUAGAGGUACAAGGAUGAGAGAGAAAGCCAAUUGUGUUAUAAAAAGGAGACAAGCACUAAAUGAAGGGCAAAGUGGAUCAGACCUAAAAAUGAGAAUCCUAACCUUCAUUUCUAUUUUGCUACCAUCAUCCAUCAUUGAAGCUUUUGUAUGAAGGAUUUUUGCUCAAAGAAGGAAACUUGCAACAAAGUUGAAGGAGGGGUUGUCAUAGUUGCUGCAUAAAAAUU
This 2599-nucleotide long non-coding RNA is filed under the name Cicer arietinum (chickpea). RNAcentral's name for it is "long non-coding RNA (CARI_LNC001275)". Lineage: Eukaryota; Viridiplantae; Streptophyta; Magnoliopsida; Fabales; Fabaceae. The record is from RNAcentral.